This 253-nucleotide ribosomal RNA is filed under the name uncultured bacterium. RNAcentral describes it as "partial 16S ribosomal RNA". It matches the Rfam family "Bacterial small subunit ribosomal RNA", at positions 524 to 776 of the family's 1533-position model. The record is from RNAcentral.
UACGGGGGGGGCAAGCGUUGUUCGGAAUUACUGGGCGUAAAGGGCUCGUAGGUGGCCAACUAAGUCGGACGUGAAAUCCCUCGGCUUAACCGGGGAACUGCGUCCGAUACUGGUUGGCUUGAGUUUGGGAGAGGGAUGCGGAAUUCCAGGUGUAGCGGUGAAAUGCGUAGAUAUCGGGAGGAACACCUGUGGCGAAGGCGGCCCCCUGGUUGGAUACUGACGCUGAGACGCGAAAGCGUGGGGAGCAAACAGG